Long non-coding RNA from Serinus canaria (Common canary), 870 nucleotides. RefSeq lists it as uncharacterized. The transcript is spliced from 3 exons. The record is from RefSeq and is a predicted model, not a curated record. Lineage: Eukaryota; Metazoa; Chordata; Aves; Passeriformes; Fringillidae.
ACAAGCUAAAUUCACACUAGGAUCAGGGAGAAGAUUCCUCCUACUUUGUCUUCCAGAGAAGGGGAAUUGCAGACAGAAUAUUUGAAGCAAAUGAGACAGAACUGACUACAGACCAUUCUUCUUCCUUGCCUUUUCAGCAGAGGAUUCUUUGAUCCUUCAGUGAAGAUUCCGGAAUGCCAUGAUGGCUGCUUGUAGUACCACUAGGAUUUUGGCUCCCAUCAGGUACUGGGAGACGGCAAGAACGUCACCCCGAAGCCUCUUCUCCAGCCUAAGAAUCCCAGUUCUCUCAGCCUUUUCCCACAGCAGAGCUGCUCUGUCCCUCUGAUCAUCUCCACGGACUCCUCUGGAUUGUCUCCUACAUCCUUCCUGAGCUGGGCACUCCAGAGCUGGAAGUAGCUCUGCAGGCCAGCCAUCUGCAAAGGGAACAAACACCAUAGAGCACUUUGGAUCACUAGCAGCAACUCCAAAAGGUCCAGCUUCAACGUUCAACUGUUCCCUGCUUACGGACAUUUCUCGGAUUACUUUCACAUGGAAUACCCUAUAAGUAGUGUUGGUUCAUCAAGUCGUUUGUCACUCCCCAUUAAAGUCUUCUGCACUUACAGAAAACAAAGAUAAUUUACCAGUAUCUUUAGAAAUAUGCCACUUCUACAGAUGUGUCUUAGUUUGCAAAGGAUAAAUCUUACUACUUUUCUUCUACAAAUUUUAAAGGAACUAUUAAAAUAGGAGACUAUAAAAAAACAAGGGGUGGGGGGACACAACUGAAAGCUAGGGCCCCAUGAUAGAGUGGCUGUGAUACCCAGUGAGACGCAAAGUGUGACUUCCCAAACCCUGGGCACAGGAGCUGUCGACAGUUUUCAGCCAUCAGCCUUG